AUCAAGCGUCUAAAAAAUGCAAACAGUGGAUACCUUGGCCUUUGUUACCUAUGAAGGACGUACAUGGCCGCGAAAGUCGUCGGGGAGCUGCCACGAAGCUUUGAUCCGGCGGUGUCCGAAUGGGGAAACCUGGCCCAGUUCAUCCUGGGCCACACUGUGGUAAAAUUUCCGGUUUACCGGAAUAUAGCUGCAGGCGAGGGAACCAUCCGAACUGAAACAUCUAAGUAGGGUGAGGAAGAGAAAUCAACGAGAUUGCCUAAGUAGCGGCGAGCGAAACGGCAACAGCCCAAAUUUUGCCCCGUUAGAUAUUUUUAUCUAAUGGGGUGAUCGGUUGUAGGACUCACGAUAUGGCAUUGAUAAUUGGUAGCAGAACAUUCUGGAAUGGAUGAGCAAAGAGCGUGAAACUCGCGUAAGCAAAACUAAUUAUCAGCCUAGUGGGCACCUGAGUACCACGGUCACAAUCUGUGGGAAUCUGGGGGGACCAUCCUCCAAGGCUAAAUAUAACAAAGGACCGAUAGUGAACAAGUACCGAGAGGGAAAGGUGAAAAGAAGUGCGGAACGCACAGUGAAAUAGAACAUGAAACUGUUUGCAGACAAACCGAGAGAGCUUGUGCUUUGCACAAAAGAUAUGAAGACAUUAAGCGAUUAAGAGAUUAAGUAAAACAAAACUUAAUAACUUAUUAACUUAAUCACUUCGUAACUUUCGCGCAGAGCGCGAGUGAUCUCGUGCCUAUUGAAGAAUGAACCGGCGAGUUAUCGUGUACUGCAAGCUUAAGGGCUUAUGGCUCAAAAGCGCAGCGAAAGCGAGUACUAAUAGUGCAAUUAGUAGUGCAUGAUAGACCCGAAACCAGGCGAUCUAGCCAUGAGCAGGCUGAAUUCCCGCGAAAGCGGGAAGGAGGGCCGAACCGUUGUAUGUUGCAAUAUGCUCGGAUGACUUGUGGCUAGGGGUAAAAUGCCAAACGAGCCUGGAGAUAGCUGGUUCUCCCCGAAAGGUGUAUGGGCACCGUGGUCCGCUAGGUGGAUUGGAGGUAGAGCUACUGAAUGGGUCGCCAAGGGAAACCAAGGCGAUUUAAUCAAACUCCGAAUUACAAUCACAUUAACGGACUAGACAGUCUCUAGGGGCUAAGCUCUAGAGACGAAAGGGAAACAACCCAGACCGUCAGUUAAGGUCCCAAAAUGUAUACUCAGUGUUUAAGGAAGUGGAAUUCCAAAAACAGCCAGGAGGUUGGCUUAGAAGCAGCCAUCCUUUAAAGAUAGCGUAACAGCUCACUGGUCAAGGGAUUCCGCGCCUAAGAUUUCGCGGGGCUAAAGUAUACUACCGAAGCUACGGAUCUCGUUCGUAGAACGAGAAUUUUUAGUUUUUAGUUUUUAAUUUUAAAUCAAUUUUUAAUAUCUAAUUUCUAAUUUUUGAAGUUUAGAUUUUAGUAUUUUUAUUUGAUUAAAAAUUUCAAAUUUUAAAUUUAGAAUUUCUCGCUCUGCGAGCGAGGUGGUAGGGGAGCGUUCCAAGUGCAGUGAAGCUGUGGUGGAAACCAUGGUGGAGCGCUUGGAAGUGAGAAUGCCGGUAUGAGUAGCGUGAAAUCCCGAUGAGAAUUCGGGACGCCGAAAACCCAAGGUUUUCCCGGCGAGGUUCGUCCUCCGGGAGUAAGUCGGCACCUAAGGCGAGGCCUAAGGGCGUAGUCGAUGGAUAACGGGUUAAUAUUCCCGUACUUGUUUUGAUGCGUUUGCACCCGCAAGGGACUGCAUGCAACUGGGGAUUGACUGAAUUGGAGCGUCAGAGCUUCUUAUUGAUUGGAGUGUAAGCCGUGAGAUAGUCUUGAUUGGAAAACCCAUCAAGAUGAUUAAUUAAGCGGCGAUGCAGAGGUGAGCGAGAGUUCGCCAAUUCUGACCGUUUCAGUUUACAAGAAAAAAUUCGCAGUGAGUAUCAAAGCGAGCCGUACCGCAAACCGACACAGGUGGGUUGGUCGAGUAGACCAAGGCGAGCGAGAGAAGGUAGUUUAAGGAACUCGGCAAAUUAGCUGGACGUAAGUUCGCAAGAUGUCCUGUCCCUCACCAUUUAUGGUGUAGGGAUCGCAGCUAACGAUUGUCAGUCGACUGUUUACCAAAAACACAGGUCCGUGCAAAAGCGAAAGCUUAAGUAUACGGGCUGACGCCUGCCCAGUGCUGGUAAGUUAAGUGGAUGGGUGCCCCGCCUUUGGCGGGAUGCUCUGAAAUGAAGCUCCAGUAAACGGCAGCAGUAACUAUAACUGUUCUACGGUAGCGAAGUUCCUUGUCUGGUAAGUUCAGACCCGCACGAAAGGCGUAACGAGCUGACAACUGUCUUAAACUAUCACUCGGCGAAAUUGCGAUGGCUGUGAAGACGCGGCCUACACACACCAGGACAAAAAGACCCCGUGCAGCUUUACUGUAUUCUGGCAUUGAGCUGUGCAUUUUAAUUGUCUAGCGUAAGAGGGAGUCCCGCUUUGCGGGACGCCAAUGUAACACCUCUCUUUAAAAUGUGGCAGAUCUUACUCAGGGACGCUUGAAACGCGUCCGGGAAAAGUGUCAGAUGGGCAGUUUUACUGGGGCGGUACCCUGCAAAAAGGUAACGCAGGGACGCAAAGGUUGGCUAACCACGGAUGGAAAUCGUGGGGUAAGCGCAAAGGUAUAAGCCAGCUUGACUGCGAGGCCGAUGGGCCAAGCAGGUACGAAAGUAGGUCUUAGUGAUCCUCCGUUUCGCAAUGGGUGCGGACGGAGCUUAAUAGAUAAAAGCUACGCCGGGGAUAACAGAGUAGUCGCAUCCGAGAGUCCAUAUCGACGAUGCGGUUCGCUACCUCAACAAUGACAUCGGGGUCUUCCGGUAGAAAUACCGGAAUGCUGUUUUAAAAAUACCGACUCAUAACGGUGAACUCCAACUUGAAAUUCGGUUUAACUUUGGGUUAAGCUGAAUUCAGGGGACAACACCGUGGGAAGUUUAUCGGAUAUUCAACAACAAAUAAUUUUGGGUUGCAUCCUUGGUGAUGGAUAUUUGAGAAAGAAAACUAAUGCGCAUUUGCAAAUUACGCAUUCGAUGAACGAAGUUCACAAGCUUCGCUUAUAAAGCAAAAAGAGUACGUUGAUUGGAAAUAUCAAAUUUUAAAAGAUAUUGUCAUCACUCCUCCCAAAGCUUAUCGAGGCAAUGCAGGCCGUGUUGGUUACAGAUUCUUUAUCAAAAGCAUUCCCGAACUUACUGUUUUCUAUGGCAGAUUUUACCUGAAUGGCAAAAAGAUAAUUCCGGAUAAUUUAAAGUUAUCCCCACUAUCUUUAGCUGUCUGGUAUAUGGACGAUGGUUCAAAAACAUAUAGAAGCAGUUAUUUUAAUUGCCAACAAUUUGAUUUAAAGAGUCAAGGUAAUUUAAUAAAAAGUUUGGGAGAACUUGGAAUAGAGUCACGAUUAAAUAAGGAUAAAACGUACUUUAGAAUACGAACCUUAUACUCAAGUACUCCAACACUCAGGGAAACAAUCUACCCGCACAUAAUUAAAAGUAUGCGGUACAAAAUUCCGAUAUAACCCCGUAUCGACUAGCUCGUAAGGGAGUAGAUAUGAAUUUUUUAAUUCAUAUAACACGUCGGCGUCCUACUUCAUGUUGUAGAGGACGAAGGUAUAGUCAGGCCACUACGUAAGUAGAUGGGUUUAAAGCGAUGUCGGCUCAGCACAUCCUGGGGGGGAAGUACCUCCCAAGGGUCGGUCUGUUCGCCCGUUAAAGUGCUACGUGAGCUGGGUUCAGAGCGUCGCAAGACAGCUCGGACUCUAUCCGGUGUGUGCGUUGAACCUUGAAGGGAGCUGUCCCCAGUACGAGAGGACCGGGAUGGGGGAAUCCCUAGUGUGCCGGUUGUCACAUCAGUGGCAGCGCCGGGUAGCUACAUUCCCAUGGGAUAACCGCUGAAAGCAUCUAAGCGGGAAGCCCACCCUAAGAUGAGGGUUCGUUAUGAGACCUCCGAGAGAACAUCGGUUUAAUCGGCCAGCAGUGGAAGCGACGCAAGUCGUUAAGCUUACUGGUGCGAAUUGGUCCAAUGACGUUUGAUUU
This 4042-nucleotide ribosomal RNA is filed under the name Candidatus Woesebacteria bacterium RIFCSPHIGHO2_01_FULL_44_21. RNAcentral's name for it is "bacterial LSU rRNA". It matches the Rfam family "Bacterial large subunit ribosomal RNA". RNAcentral also lists the same sequence under 1 other name. The record is from RNAcentral. Lineage: Bacteria; Candidatus Woeseibacteriota.